AUAAAAGUGUUGCUGGAACGGAGGAACCACUAUUUGGGGCUAAUCUCGCAAAGGGAGUCUUUGGAAACAGAGUGACCAAGACAAUGAGAAGAGCAUCUCUCAGCUCUCGCCCGUCAGCUAACUUCGUAGGCAUUGAGAGGAGGCUGA
Molecule: small RNA, 147 nt
Filed under: Lyngbya sp. PCC 8106
Lineage: Bacteria; Bacillati; Cyanobacteriota; Cyanophyceae; Oscillatoriales; Microcoleaceae
Also listed under: 1 other name
Description: c-di-AMP riboswitch aptamer (ydaO/yuaA leader)
Rfam family: c-di-AMP riboswitch aptamer (ydaO/yuaA leader)
About the family: This family represents a conserved RNA structure found upstream of the ydaO and yuaA genes in Bacillus subtilis and related genes in other bacteria. The ydaO/yuaA element is thought to act as a genetic "off" switch for the ydaO and yuaA genes in its native state.
Source: Rfam by way of RNAcentral